GACGAACGCUGGCGGCGUGCUUAACACAUGCAAGUCGAACGGAAAGGCCCUGCUUUUGUGGGGUGCUCGAGUGGCGAACGGGUGAGUAACACGUGAGUAACCUGCCCUUGACUUUGGGAUAACUUCAGGAAACUGGGGCUAAUACCGGAUAGGAGCUCCUGCUGCAUGGUGGGGGUUGGAAAGUUUCGGCGGUUUGGGAUGGACUCGCGGCUUAUCAGCUUGUUGGUGGGGUAGUGGCUUACCAAGGCUUUGACGGGUAGCCGGCCUGAGAGGGUGACCGGCCACAUUGGGACUGAGAUACGGCCCAGACUCCUACGGGAGGCAGCAGUGGGGAAUAUUGCACAGUGGGCGGAAGCCUGAUGCAGCAACGCCGCGUGCGGGAUGACGGCCUUCGGGUUGUAAACCGCUUUCGCCUGUGACGAAGCGUGAGUGACGGUAAUGGGUAAAGAAGCACCGGCUAACUACGUG
RNAcentral lists this ribosomal RNA (468 nucleotides) under uncultured bacterium. RNAcentral describes it as "partial 16S ribosomal RNA". It matches the Rfam family "Bacterial small subunit ribosomal RNA", at positions 28 to 507 of the family's 1533-position model. The record is from RNAcentral.